RNAcentral lists this transfer RNA (85 nucleotides) under Felis catus (domestic cat). It matches the Rfam family "tRNA". From Rfam's summary of the family: Transfer RNA (tRNA) molecules are approximately 80 nucleotides in length. Their secondary structure includes four short double-helical elements and three loops (D, anti-codon, and T loops). Lineage: Eukaryota; Metazoa; Chordata; Mammalia; Carnivora; Felidae. The record is from Rfam by way of RNAcentral.
GCCUGGGUGGCUCAAUCGGUUGAGCAUCCGACUUCAGCUCAGGUCAUGAUGUCAUGAUUCACGGGUUCGUGUCCCGUGUCAGGCU